This 700-nucleotide ribosomal RNA is filed under the name uncultured Corynebacterium sp. MT4P. RNAcentral describes it as "bacterial SSU rRNA". It matches the Rfam family "Bacterial small subunit ribosomal RNA", at positions 524 to 1223 of the family's 1533-position model. The record is from RNAcentral. Lineage: Bacteria; Bacillati; Actinomycetota; Actinomycetes; Mycobacteriales; Corynebacteriaceae.
UACGUAGGGUGCGAGCGUUGUCCGGAAUUACUGGGCGUAAAGGGCUCGUAGGUGGUUUGUCGCGUCGUCUGUGAAAUUCUGGGGCUUAACUCCGGGCGUGCAGGCGAUACGGGCAUAACUUGAGUACUGUAGGGGUAACUGGAAUUCCUGGUGUAGCGGUGAAAUGCGCAGAUAUCAGGAGGAACACCGAUGGCGAAGGCAGGUUACUGGGCAGUUACUGACGCUGAGGAGCGAAAGCAUGGGUAGCGAACAGGAUUAGAUACCCUGGUAGUCCAUGCCGUAAACGGUGGGCGCUAGGUGUGAGGGUCUUUCUACGACUUUCGUGCCGUAGCUAACGCAUUAAGCGCCCCGCCUGGGGAGUACGGCCGCAAGGCUAAAACUCAAAGGAAUUGACGGGGGCCCGCACAAGCGGCGGAGCAUGUGGAUUAAUUCGAUGCAACGCGAAGAACCUUACCUGGGCUUGACAUACAUCAGAUCGCUGCAGAGAUGUAGUUUCCCUUUGUGGUUGGUGUACAGGUGGUGCAUGGUUGUCGUCAGCUCGUGUCGUGAGAUGUUGGGUUAAGUCCCGCAACGAGCGCAACCCUUGUCUUAUGUUGCCAGCAUUUGGUUGGGGACUCAUGAGAGACUGCCGGGGUUAACUCGGAGGAAGGUGGGGAUGACGUCAAAUCAUCAUGCCCCUUAUGUCCAGGGCUUCACACAU